RNAcentral lists this ribosomal RNA (500 nucleotides) under uncultured bacterium. RNAcentral's name for it is "partial 16S ribosomal RNA". It matches the Rfam family "Bacterial small subunit ribosomal RNA", at positions 30 to 523 of the family's 1533-position model. The record is from RNAcentral.
AUUGAACGCUGGCGGCAUGCUUUACACAUGCAAGUCGAACGGUAACAGGGUGCUUGCACCGCUGACAAGUGGCGAACGGGUGAGUAAUGCGUCGGAACGUGCCGAGUAGUGGGGGAUAACGCAGCGAAAGUUGUGCUAAUACCGCAUACGUACUGAGGUAGAAAGUGGGGGACCUUCGGGCCUCACGCUAUUCGGGCGGCCGACGUCUGAUUAGCUAGUAGGUGAGGUAAAGGCUCACCUAGGCGACGAUCAGUAGCGGGUCUGAGAGGAUGAUCCGCCACACUGGGACUGAGACACGGCCCAGACUCCUACGGGAGGCAGCAGUGGGGAAUUUUGGACAAUGGGCGAAAGCCUGAUCCAGCCAUGCCGCGUGUCUGAAGAAGGCCUUCGGGUUGUAAAGGACUUUUGUCAGGGAGGAAAUCCCUAGUGCUAAUAACACUGGGGGAUGACAGUACCUGAAGAAUAAGCACCGGCUAACUACGUGCCAGCCGCCGCGGUAA